GGCCGACUAGCUAGCCUACCACAUCAAACACAACAAACCAACAUUUAUAAACCCAAAUCCACUUGAUACCACUCAAAUAAAACAUUUUCUUCCCUAGUAUGGGAGACAGAAAAGAAACUCAAGAGCAAUAGAAAAAGUACCGCAAGGGAAAGCUGAAAAAGAAAUGAAACAACCCAGUAAAGCCUUAAAAAGCAAAGAUUAAACCUUGUACCUUUUGCAUCAUGAUCUAGCCAGCAUCGCCAAGCAAAAAGAAUUUUAGUUUGACACCCCGAAACCGAGCGAGCUACUCCAGGCCAGCCUAUAUAAAUAGGGCGAACCCAUCUCUGUGGCAAAAGAGUGGGAAGAGCCUCGAGUAGAGGUGAAAGACCUACCGAGCCCGGCUAUAGCUGGUUGCCUGAGAACUGAAUAGAAGUUCAGCCUCCCGGAUUCUUCCCUCAAGGACAUUUAAUUAAUAUAUACCGACCUCAAGAAACCCGAGAGAGUUAGUCAAAAGGGGGAUAGCCCUUUUGACACAAGAUACAACUUUACUAGGAGGGAACUGAUCAUAAUUUAUUAAGGGAUAAUAAUCCAAGUGGGCCUAAAAGCAGCCAUCUUAAUAGAAAGCGUCUAAGCUCAAACACUCCUUUAACCCCUCAAAUUCAGACAAUAACUCACAGCCCCCUAAAAAUAUCAGGCCCUCUCGUGCCCACACAAGAGAGACCAUGCUACUACGAGUAAUAAGAGAAAGACCUUCUCUCCUAGCACAUGUGUAAAUCGGACUGGACCCCCCACCGAAACUUAACGGCCCCAAAUAAAGAGGGUAGUAAAAGAAUAUCAACAAACUAGAAAACCACUUAAAACCUUUACCGUUAACCCCACACUGGCGUGCCCCCAAGGAAAGACUAAAAGAAAAAGAAGGAACUCGGCAAACCAAAGCCUCGCCUGUUUACCAAAAACAUCGCCUCUUGCUAAAAUCAAAGAAUAAGAGGUCCCGCCUGCCCACUGAUCCCAGAUUCAACGGCCGCGGUAUUUUGACCGUGCUAAGGUAGCGUAAUCACUUGUCUUUUAAAUGAAGACCCGUAUGAAAGGCUUAACGAGGGCUUAACUGUCUCCUUUUUCCAGUCAAUGAAACUGAUCUCCCCGUGCAGACGCGGGGAUUAAAACAUAAGACGAGAAGACCCUAUGGAGCUUUAGACACCAAGGCAGCCUAUUUUAAAUAACCCUAAACAAGCAACAAAUCUAUUAGUAAACCUGCCUCAGUCUUAGGUUGGGGCGACCCUGGGGAAAUACAAAACCCCCAUGUGGAGAGGGGGGACCUACUACGCAACCCCUAAAAACUCGAAACACAAUUCUAAUCAACAGAACCUCUGACCAAAUUGAUCCGGCCCAAGCCGAUUAACGAAACAAGUUACCCUAGGGAUAACAGCGCUAUCCCCUUUUAAAGUCCAUAUAGACAAGGGGGCUUACGACCUCGAUGUUGGAUCAGGACAUCCUAAUGGUGCAGCCGCUAUUAAGGGUUCGUUUGUUCAACGAUUAAAGUCCUACGUGAUCUGAGUUCAGACCGGAGUAAUCCAGGUCAGUUUCUAUCUAUGAAUGUGAUCUUUUCUAGUACGAAAGGACCGAAAAGAAGGAGUCCAUGCUCUAAAGUACACUCCACCCCCACCUGAUGAUACCGUAUAAACCAGACAACGGGGACAACAACAAAGCAGCUGAAAACAACAGCAUU
RNAcentral lists this ribosomal RNA (1705 nucleotides) under Achirus lineatus (lined sole). Its description in RNAcentral is "16S ribosomal RNA". The stretch from base 108 to 1588 matches the Rfam family "Bacterial large subunit ribosomal RNA". The record is from RNAcentral. Lineage: Eukaryota; Metazoa; Chordata; Actinopteri; Pleuronectiformes; Achiridae.